Molecule: ribosomal RNA, 289 nt
Filed under: uncultured bacterium
Lineage: Bacteria
Description: partial 16S ribosomal RNA
Rfam family: Bacterial small subunit ribosomal RNA
Source: RNAcentral
AGCGAACGCUGGCGGCGUACUUAACACAUGCAAGUCGAACGAGGAUCAUCGGGUUAGCAAUAAUUCGGUGGUCCUAGUGGCGCACGGGUGAGUAACACGUGGGUGACCUGCCCUUGAGCUCGGGAUACCCCCUCGAAAGGGGGGCGUAAUACCGGAUACGUUCCUCGGUCGAAAGACUGAGGAGGAAAGGUGGCGCAAGCUGCCGCUCUUGGAGGGGCUCGCGGCCUAUCAGCUAGUGGCGGGGUAACGGCCCACCAAGGCUAUGACGGGUAGCUGGUCUGAGAGGACG